AAUCCGAGAAUUUCACCUCCAACAACUAAAUACUAAUGCCCCCAACUGUCCCUAUCAAUCAUUACUUCAGCCAAGCGAAACCAACGAAACAAGACCGAAGUCGUAUUCCAUUAUCCCAUGCUAACGUAUUCGGAGGCGAGUUACGCCUGCUUUGAACACUCUAAUUUCCUCAAAGUAAACGAUCCUAGCGGUUGAUUCCCCGCCCUCGCGGACGAGGACCGUUAGGAACAUAGGAGGCCAGCAACCCGCUCCCCGAAGGGGCGGAUUGCUAAGGACCUUCCGAAAUCCAACUACGAGCUUUUUAACUGCAACAACUUUAAUAUACGCUAUUGGAGCUGGAAUUACCGC
Molecule: unclassified non-coding RNA, 348 nt
Filed under: uncultured fungus
Lineage: Eukaryota; Fungi
Description: sequence contains ITS1
Source: RNAcentral